This is a long non-coding RNA of Numida meleagris (helmeted guineafowl), 1566 nucleotides long. NCBI's taxonomy places the organism in Eukaryota, Metazoa, Chordata, Aves, Galliformes, Numididae. The record is from Ensembl.
UGGACUUCAGUGAUGCUUUGGCAAAUAUAGAGAGGGGAACGCUUUGUAUUCUUCUCAGCAUUUUAUGAAAUGGUUAUUUUUAGCACUUGGGUUCAGAACUAAUUUUCCAGGAAUUUCUUGGCUUUCAGCCUCUCUGAAAAAUAAUCAGGAAAACAUUCAGAAAGACUGAGAGAAGGCAACAGGAGGGGGGACAGUUUUGAGCAGUUGCCGAUGUCCCAUGUUGACUGUUUUUUUCACCCUCAGAAUCAGGAAGCAAAACAGACAGAAGGCAGCGAAUACAGUGCAAAACAAAGUAUGUAAAUACAAAUCAGCUAUUAAUAGUGGCAGUGACCCAGGGGCAAGCACUAGCUGGAGAAUUGAGGCUCUCAGGCUUCCAGAUGAGAUUUAAAAUCAAAAUGAAAAUUAAAAAUCUGUCCUGCAUCUCAUUGAAACGGAGGUGCAGUCUUCACCAGCUGGCCCUGCCCUGGAGUUAUUUGCAGCUAUUCACUCAACUCAUCUGUACUUCAAAAAGGAGCUGCAGCCUACAGCAGAAGGCUCAUUAUCUCUCACUGGUGAUGAAGUCAUGAGCUACACAAAAAUUUCUCUACUGUUCAAGAAUGCAUUAAAUGUUCCCGAUAUACAUUCCAGCAAUUGAAUGAGUUUUUGCGUGUGUGUAUAAAAAUGUUAACUUAUAAAUGAAUUUUUAUCCCUUUUAUGAUUCUUUAUGCCAUAGUAAGUUAACACCAUAAGCGCUGGGUUAUGAGACUUUGUAGAGUUUGGGUUCUUUUUUUCCUGUUCAGCCCAAAGAAAUCACAGGCUGCUUGAUGCUAACUUUGAGUCUUGGGCUGGGUGAACUCAGGGACUAUCAGUUCUUCAAUUCAUGCGAGCUUCUCACAAGCUGAAUGUAAAAGAGACAACUGAAGUUGACAACAAGCUGCAAGAUAAAAAGGGACAGUAGACUCCAGCUGUAGAAAAUCCCCUGAGCUGGGCUUGGCCUCCUCUACUUGUAGCCUACUACUCCUAUUCAUUCAGCUCCUCUGUGUGAGAACAGCAGCCUGCCAACGUGGCACUCCUUGCUCCCUUGGAAGACCAAAUUGUACCAAAAACUGCAGUCAGCUUUUUCUGCAUGAAGCGUCCCUGAAGAAGUCAGAAACCUCUCUACCAGAAGACUUUUCCUCUGUCCAGAUCUGAUUCUCUCUUAGUUCAGGUUUCAUCCACCCAGACUGGGGUGAUAUCCUAGUGAAAAUAAGACAGCGUGUACUUCAGAAGUAAAACUCCUUCUUCAGACUUGAUUGUGUCUCGGAGCUUUGUGUGACUCCCACAAACACCUGAAGUCAGCUCUCUUCUGUCCAAUAACAGAUAAAAGUAGAGCAGAUUUUUUUUCCCUGGCUCUAUUGAAACCUCAGUUUUUUUCAGAAAGCGGAGUGUAAAUCGAUGAGCCUUCUCCCUGUAAUUAUCACUGAUAGCUGUAUGUGGCAAUUUGCAGAGCAGAAAGCAGAUUCUCUCCUUCCUGUAGCUUGAUCCCCUUUCUUCCUGCGCACUCCUGCCUGCAGGAGAUUCAGAGGGCAGCAAGGCUGAGAAAACUGU